This 729-nucleotide long non-coding RNA is filed under the name Fragaria vesca (wild strawberry). RNAcentral describes it as "long non-coding RNA (FVES_LNC001936)". The record is from RNAcentral. Lineage: Eukaryota; Viridiplantae; Streptophyta; Magnoliopsida; Rosales; Rosaceae.
AGCCACAACAAGUCGGAGAUUACCAAAAUCCCAAAUGUAAAGCUUAAUUUCUGCCAUAAUUUUUAUAUCAGUGCACCGGUUUUAGUGGUCAAGUGUAUUGAGUCCAUUUUCAAGUAUGCAGAGAUCAUCACCAUCACGUGAGUUACAGGACACAAUGGUAAAUUCCUUCUGUGGCUCAAGCACCAUGACGACUGACUUCAGCUUGCAAUCCUGGUCCUGUAGCUCCUGGUUGUUAUGCAUCAUCAAUAGUUUCUCCAGAUUGUUGUAUAUUCUCACCGUCGCAGCAUCAUUAUCUGAUAAAAUGACAUGAGCAAUACUGAAAGCUUCACCUUGCUCAACUGCAAAUUGCAACUGUCUCACUGACAUUUCAAACCAGUCUUUGGUUGGAUUUCUGGUUGCUUUAACUUCAAUGAACUCUCUCCUACCUUCAUUGUCUACAAUUAUGUCAUAUGGUAGCCUUGUUUCCCUAUGCUCAUUAACCCACUUCACAGCUGAUUUGCCAGCUUUAUCAAUGAAGUAUUUAAAAGCAGCAAGCUCACCUAGUCUUCCAGUUUCCUUUGCUUGUAUUGCAUCAGGUGUGCAAGUACUAAGACGAUCUCUCUUCCCAAAGUUAGAUGAGCCACACUGAGGAGUACCUGUAAUGGGAAUCAUCUUGUCCAUAUGUCUAACAGAUCUGUUAUAAUUAUCCUCCCUGUUCUUUUGUAAGUCACUUCUAGGAUUUAAAAUUGG